RNAcentral lists this ribosomal RNA (215 nucleotides) under uncultured bacterium. Its description in RNAcentral is "partial 16S ribosomal RNA". It matches the Rfam family "Bacterial small subunit ribosomal RNA", at positions 524 to 734 of the family's 1533-position model. The record is from RNAcentral.
UACGUAGGCAGCAAGCGUUGUUCGGAAUUACUGGGCGUAAAGAGUGUGUAGGCGGUGCUCCAAGUCUGGUGUGAAAUCUCCCGGCUUAACUGGGAGGGUGCAUUAGAAACUUGGGAAUGCUAGAGGAUGGGAGAGGUAAGGCGGAAUUCCUGGUGUAGCGGUGAAAUGCGUAGAUAUCAGGAGGAACACCGUGUGGUGUAGACAGCUUACUGGAC